This 96-nucleotide non-coding RNA is filed under the name Sphingomonas paucimobilis. Its description in RNAcentral is "Glycine riboswitch". It matches the Rfam family "Glycine riboswitch aptamer", at positions 7 to 90 of the family's 94-position model. From Rfam's summary of the family: This family represents the bacterial glycine riboswitch. Glycine riboswitches usually consist of two metabolite-binding aptamers domains with similar structures in tandem. The aptamers cooperatively bind glycine to regulate the expression of downstream genes. Lineage: Bacteria; Pseudomonadati; Pseudomonadota; Alphaproteobacteria; Sphingomonadales; Sphingomonadaceae. The record is from RNAcentral.
CACUCUGGAAAGCGCGCUUCGGCCUCACGCCGUCGCGCCACCGAAGGGGUAAGCCGGAACUCCGGCGAAAGCUCUCAGGUUCCGUGACAGAGGGGG